AUUGAACGCUGGCGGCAGGCCUAACACAUGCAAGUCGAACGGUAACAGGAAACAGCUUGCUGUUUCGCUGACGAGUGGCGGACGGGUGAGUGAUGUCUGGGAAACUGCCUGAUGGAGGGGGAUAACUACUGGAAACGGUAGCUAAUACCGCAUAACGUCGCAAGACCAAAGAGGGGGACCUUCGGGCCUCUUGCCAUCGGAUGUGCGCAGAUGGGAUUAGCUAGUAGGUGGGGUAACGGCUCACCUAGGCGACGAGCCCUAGCUGGUCUGAGAGGAUGACCAGCCACACUGGAACUGAGACACGGUCCAGACUCCUACGGGAGGCAGCAGUGGGGAAUAUUGCACAAUGGGCGCAAGCCUGAUGCAGCCAUGCCGCGUGUAUGAAGAAGGCCUUCUGGGUGUAAAGUACUUUCAGCGGGGAGGAAGGGAGUAAAGUUAAUACCUUUACUCAUUGACGUUACCCGCAGAAGAAGCACCGGCUAACUCCGUG
RNAcentral lists this ribosomal RNA (490 nucleotides) under uncultured bacterium. RNAcentral describes it as "partial 16S ribosomal RNA". It matches the Rfam family "Bacterial small subunit ribosomal RNA", at positions 30 to 507 of the family's 1533-position model. The record is from RNAcentral.